This 1357-nucleotide ribosomal RNA is filed under the name human gut metagenome. RNAcentral describes it as "bacterial LSU rRNA". It matches the Rfam family "Bacterial large subunit ribosomal RNA", at positions 1572 to 2925 of the family's 2925-position model. The record is from RNAcentral.
UCCUUCGGGUGAGCGAACUUUCAUGAUGCUACGCUUCCAAGAAAAGCUUCUAGGGCUAAUUGCAUAGGUGCCUGUACCGACAACCGACACAGGUGGUCAAGGAGAGUAUCCUAAGGUGAGCGAGAGAACUAUGGUUAAGGAACUCGGCAAAAUGACCCCGUAACUUCGGGAGAAGGGGUGGUCUAGCGAUAGACCCGCAGUGAAUAGGCCCAGGCAACUGUUUACCAAAAACACAGGUCUCUGCUAACACGUAAGUGGAUGUAUAGGGGCUGACGCCUGCCCAGUGCUGGAAGGUUAAAGAGAUUAGUUAGUAUGACGCAAGUCGAUAAUACAAAGCUUUGAACUGAAGCCCCAGUGAACGGCGGCCGUAACUAUAACGGUCCUAAGGUAGCGAAAUUCCUUGUCAGGUAAGUUCUGACCCGCACGAAAGGCGUAAUGAUCUGGGUACUGUCUCAACCAUAGACUCGGUGAAAUCUUAAUACCUGUGAAAAUGCAGGUUACCCGCGACUGGACGGAAAGACCCCGUGGAGCUUUACUGUAGCUUGAUAUUGGAAUUCGGUAAACUAUGUAGAGCAUAGGUGGGAGACUAUGAGACUAAGGCGCCAGCCUUAGAGGAGUCACCAUUGGAAUACCACCCUUAGUUUAUUGGAUUUCUAACCUAGAGCCAUUAUCUGGUUCAGGGACAGUGUCUGGUGGGCAGUUUGACUGGGGCGGUCGCCUCCUAAAAUGUAACGGAGGCGUUCAAAGGUUCCCUCAGAAUGGUUGGAAAUCAUUCAAAGAGCGUAAAGGUAUAUAGGGAGCUUGACUGCGAGACCUACAAGUCAAGCAGGUGCGAAAGCAGGACUUAGUGAUCAGGCGAUUCAGAAUGGAAUGGUCGUCGCUUAACGGAUAAAAGUUACCCCGGGGAUAACAGGCUGAUACCACCCAAUAGUUCACAUAGACGGUGGUGUUUGGCACCUCGAUGUCGGCUCGUCAUAUCCUGGAGGUGGAGUCGCUUCCAAGGGUUGGGCUGUUCGCCCAUUAAAAUGGCACGCGAGCUGGGUUCAGAACGUCGUGAGACAGUUCGGUCCCUAUCCGUCGUGGGCGCAGGAAAAUUGAGGAGAGCUAUCCUUAGUACGAGAGGACCGGGAUGGACCUACCUCUGGUGUAUCUGUUGUCACGCCAGUGGCAGUGCAGAGUAGCUAUGUAGGGAAGGGAUAAACGCUGAAAGCAUCUAAGCGUGAAGCCCUCUCCAAGAUGAGUUUUCCCAUUGUUUAACAAGUAAAAUCCCAGAUAGACUAACUGGUUGAUAGGCUAGAAGUGGAAGUGUAGCGAUACAUUGAGCGGACUAGUACUAAUAGAUUGAGGAUUUAAUCCC